AGCGAACGCUGGCGGCAGGCCUAACACAUGCAAGUCGAACGAACCUUUCGGGGUUAGUGGCGGACGGGUGAGUAACACGUGGGAACGUGCCUUUAGGUUCGGAAUAACUCAGGGAAACUUGUGCUAAUACCGAAUGUGCCCUUCGGGGGAAAGAUUUAUCGCCUUUAGAGCGGCCCGCGUCUGCUUAGCUAGUUGGUUGAGGUAAUGGCUCACCAAGGCGACGAUCAGUAGCUGGUCUGAGAGGAUGAUCAGCCACAUUGGGACUGAGACACGGCCCAAACUCCUACGGGAGGCAGCAGUGGGGAAUCUUGCGCAAUGGGCGAAAGCCUGACGCAGCCAUGCCGCGUGAAUGAUGAAGGUCUUAGGAUUGUAAAAUUCUUUCACCGGGGAUGAUAAUGACGGUACCCGGAGAAGAAGCCCCGGCUAACUUCGUG
RNAcentral lists this ribosomal RNA (434 nucleotides) under uncultured bacterium. Its description in RNAcentral is "partial 16S ribosomal RNA". It matches the Rfam family "Bacterial small subunit ribosomal RNA", at positions 29 to 507 of the family's 1533-position model. The record is from RNAcentral.